Molecule: ribosomal RNA, 504 nt
Filed under: uncultured bacterium
Lineage: Bacteria
Description: partial 16S ribosomal RNA
Rfam family: Bacterial small subunit ribosomal RNA
Source: RNAcentral
GACGAACGCUGGCGGCGUGCUUAACACAUGCAAGUCGAACGGUGAAGCGCUUGCCUUUUUGGUGGGUGUGGAUGAGUGGCGAACGGGUGAGUAACACGUGAGUAACCUGCCCUCUUCUUCUGGAUAACCUCAUGAAAGUGCGGCUAAUACGGGGUAUUCCGGGUCUGUCGCAUGGCGGGUUUGGGAAAGAUUGCGCCUUUGGGUGUGUUCGGUGGGGGAUGGGCUCGCGGCCUAUCAGCUUGUUGGUGGGGGGAUGGCCUACCAAGGCGGUGACGGGUAGCCUGCGUGGGAGGGUGGACAGCCUGGCUGGGACAGACGCACGGCACACCCUCGUGCGGCAGGAAGCGGUGGGCAUUCGUGCUGAACGGGCGCAUGCCGGAUGCAGCGCCGGCGCGUGAGGGAGGGCGGCCUUCGGUUAGAGAAUCUCUUUCGCGAGUGAAGAAGGCCUGCUCAUGUGUGGGUGGGUUGACGGUAGCUGGACAAGAAGCGACGGCUAACUACGUG